RNAcentral lists this transfer RNA (74 nucleotides) under Agitococcus sp. RNAcentral's name for it is "tRNA-Cys". It matches the Rfam family "tRNA". From Rfam's summary of the family: Transfer RNA (tRNA) molecules are approximately 80 nucleotides in length. Their secondary structure includes four short double-helical elements and three loops (D, anti-codon, and T loops). Further hydrogen bonds mediate the characteristic L-shaped molecular structure. tRNAs have two regions of fundamental functional importance: the anti-codon, which is responsible for specific mRNA codon recognition, and the 3' end, to which the tRNAs corresponding amino acid is attached (by aminoacyl-tRNA synthetases). tRNAs cope with the degeneracy of the genetic code in two manners: having more than one tRNA (with a specific anti-codon) for a particular amino acid; and 'wobble' base-pairing, i.e. permitting non-standard base-pairing at the 3rd anti-codon position. Lineage: Bacteria; Pseudomonadati; Pseudomonadota; Gammaproteobacteria; Moraxellales; Moraxellaceae. RNAcentral also lists the same sequence under 2 other names. The record is from RNAcentral.
GGCUGAGUAGCAAAAUGGUUAUGCACCGGACUGCAACUCCGUUGACGCCGGUUCGAUUCCGGCCUCAGCCUCCA